This 801-nucleotide ribosomal RNA is filed under the name uncultured bacterium. RNAcentral's name for it is "bacterial SSU rRNA". It matches the Rfam family "Bacterial small subunit ribosomal RNA", at positions 70 to 880 of the family's 1533-position model. The record is from RNAcentral.
AACAGGGAGUGCUUGCACUCCGCUGACGACCGGCGAACGGGUGAGUAAUGCAUAAGAAACCUGCCCAUGAGACGGGGAUAGCCAUUCCAACGGAUGAUUAAUACCCGAUAGUGAUAUUACAACGCAUGUUGUUUUAUCUAAAUGUUUUAUCGCUCAUGGAUGGUCUUAUGUGACAUCAGCUAGUUGGUGAGGUAAUGGCUCACCAAGGCAAUGACGUCUAGCCGACCUGAGAGGGUGAUCGGCCACAUCGGGACUGAGAUACGGCCCGGACUCCUACGGGAGGCAGCAGUAGGGAAUUUUGCGCAAUGGAGGAAACUCUGACGCAGCGAUACCGUGUGUAGGAAGACGCCCUGCGGGGUGUAAACUACUGUCACUAGGGAAGAAUACAAUGACGGUACCUAGAGAGGAAGCACCGGCUAACUCCGUGCCAGCAGCCGCGGUAAUACGGAGGGUGCAAGCGUUGCGCGGAAUUACUGGGCGUUAAGGGUCCGUAGGCUGUUUGUUAAGUCAGUUUUUUAAGACCGCAGCUCAACUGCGGAAAAGGAAUUGAUACUGGCAGACUAGAGCGUGAGAGGGGAAAGUGGAAUUCCAGGAGUAGCGGUGAAAUGUGUAGAUACCUAGAGGAACGCCAAAGGUGAAGACAACUUUCUGGCUCAUAGCUGACGCUGAGGGACGAAAGCGUGGGGAGCAAAUAGGAUUAGAUACCCUAGUAGUCCACGCCGUAAACGAUGAAUGCUAGACAUUGGGAUUGUAAUAUUUUUCAGUGUCGCAGCUUACGCAUUAAGCAUUCCGCCUGGGGAG